This 24-nucleotide microRNA is filed under the name Homo sapiens (human). RNAcentral describes it as "hsa-miR-589-3p". Its record names the gene hsa-miR-589-3p. The record is from miRBase by way of RNAcentral. Lineage: Eukaryota; Metazoa; Chordata; Mammalia; Primates; Hominidae.
UCAGAACAAAUGCCGGUUCCCAGA